RNAcentral lists this ribosomal RNA (253 nucleotides) under uncultured bacterium. Its description in RNAcentral is "partial 16S ribosomal RNA". It matches the Rfam family "Bacterial small subunit ribosomal RNA", at positions 524 to 776 of the family's 1533-position model. The record is from RNAcentral.
UACAGAGGGUGCAAGCGUUAAUCGGAAUUACUGGGCGUAAAGCGUGCGUAGUCGGUUAUUUAAGUCGGGCGUGAAAGCCCCGGGCUCAACCUGGGAAUUGCGUUCGAUACUGGAUAGCUAGAGUUCGGCAGAGGGAAGCGGAAUUUCGGGUGUAGCGGUGAAAUGCGUAGAGAUCGGGAGGAACACCGGUGGCGAAGGCGGGUCUCUGGGCAAUUCCUGACGCUGAGGCGCGAAAGCGUGGGGAGCAAACGGG